CGAAAGUUAGCUCACUGGUAGAGCAAUCGACUCAUAAUCGAUGUGUUGCAGGUUCAAUUCCUGUACUUUCUCCCA
Molecule: transfer RNA, 75 nt
Filed under: Aulosira sp. FACHB-615
Lineage: Bacteria; Bacillati; Cyanobacteriota; Cyanophyceae; Nostocales; Fortieaceae
Description: tRNA-Met
Rfam family: tRNA
About the family: Transfer RNA (tRNA) molecules are approximately 80 nucleotides in length. Their secondary structure includes four short double-helical elements and three loops (D, anti-codon, and T loops).
Source: RNAcentral